CCUGUGGACUGUAAAAGAACUUGUGAGUAGUCUUUUGACAAAAGCAUACAGGAAGAAGCAGGAA
This 64-nucleotide small RNA is filed under the name bovine gut metagenome. RNAcentral describes it as "RAGATH-18 RNA". It matches the Rfam family "RAGATH-18 RNA". Rfam says of the family: Actinobacteria, Firmicutes, Fusobacteria, Thermotogae (1 example). Nearby to self-cleaving ribozyme genes The record is from RNAcentral.